UGAGGAAUAUUGGUCAAUGGGCGGAAGCCUGAACCAGCCAAGUCGCGUGAGGGAAGACGGUCCUAUGGAUUGUAAACCUCUUUUGCAGGGAGCAAGACGCGGCACGUGUACCGUGCUGGAGAGUACCUGAGAAAAAGGCAUCGGCUAACUCCGUGCCAGCAGCCGCGGUAAUACGGAGGAUGCGAGCGUUAUCCGGAUUUAUUGGGUUUAAAGGGUGCGUAGGCGGACUGGUAAGUCAGCGGUAAAAAUUGCGGUGCUCAACGCCGUAGUGCCGUUGAAACUGCCGGUCUUGAGUGAGCGAGAAGUAUGCGGAAUGCGUGGUGUAGCGGUGAAAUGCAUAGAUAUCACGCAGAACUCCGAUUGCGAAGGCAGCAUACCGGCGCUCAACUGACGCUGAGGCACGAAAGCGUGGGGGAUCGAACAGGAUUAGAUACC
RNAcentral lists this ribosomal RNA (435 nucleotides) under uncultured bacterium. RNAcentral describes it as "bacterial SSU rRNA". It matches the Rfam family "Bacterial small subunit ribosomal RNA", at positions 355 to 786 of the family's 1533-position model. The record is from RNAcentral.